Molecule: long non-coding RNA, 1916 nt
Filed under: Equus caballus (horse)
Lineage: Eukaryota; Metazoa; Chordata; Mammalia; Perissodactyla; Equidae
Description: lncRNA (ENSECAG00000029554.3)
Source: RNAcentral
UCACAAUACAAGCACCUGAUCUGAGUGUGGAGUUUGUACACAGCAUUACCUUUCUUUUCUCUCCUUCCUCCUUGUUGCAGCACGCCCGAAAUUGUCCAGUUUCCACAGGGAGAAAAGUUUAAUCUGACAGGGGUAGUGGUGGUGGAAGGAGUAGCUGGAGGCCUUAUUCUGACACAAAGUCUGAAUGAAGCACUUCCUCUAACUCAGCUUCGGCAGUAAGAAAGUUUUGUUUUGUGUUCAUUCUUUGGAUCUUCCUGUGGAUUAUUCUUUUCAGCAGUUACUGCAUUCAUCGUUCUCUGUCACAUGGUGCACCAUGGAGAUUCUGCUAGACAGCACACUCAAGAGGGAAAUGUUAAAAAGGAGAACCAGCCAAACAGUGUCCUCUCCAUUUGUAGCCUCGCAAAGAAAACUCACAGGAAAGGGAGGAGAGCUUCCUGUGAACACCUCCACAGGUGUUCACCUCUGCAUACCUUACUGCUGGCUUAUAAAAUGGGGCCUAACGAAAAGAAGGACAGAUGGAAGGAAACUGCUUGUGGAACCAAAAAGUCUUGCAACAAACCUGCCCUCAGGCAGGAGGCUACUAAGCCAGGUCCAGGCCUCAGCCCCUUUCAUGCCACAGACCCAAAGGGCUGUGACCGCUCCCCUCCCCUAAUUAAAGCAUUGGCCACCUAUUCACUCCUCCAGGAUCCCUCUUUCUUAAACUAACUAAAGAAAAAUAUUCCUAUCUCCUCCCAUCUCCCCUUGAUGUCAUCCCCAAAGAUAAGCCCAUUGACCAUUUUAAGAGUUUCAGAGCCAGUUAUAAUAGAGACGCUGAAAGGAGAAAGCAAGCCUACGUGGAUUAUGCACACGUGCUCAAUUCUUUUGAUUUUACAGAGCUCUCAUCCUCAUGCAAGGCACUGAAAUUCAUUGAGCUUAAUGUCCUUAUCUACAAACUGGCGUAAUACCUCCAGCACAGGUAGGAGCAACAGCCAUGGAGAAGCACUGCCCAGAGACCUGUUCUAGGAAGGAUCUGAUUCCCAGGUGAAGAGGAGGAUCAGCAGACAGCCUCCAGUUGUCAGAGCCAACAGGGUCUGCUCAGGUGCAGAGAACCGCCUGUCUGAGAUCAUAGGUUUCCCAGGUAGGAUGACCAGCUCCUUGGGUGUGCCUGGAACUUUCUUGGCACUAAAAGUCUCGCAUCCCAGGAUGGGUCUGUGGGCUGGAGUCUGACUCAAUGGGUGCAUCCUUAAAAGCAGAGCCAUUUGCCCUCAGCAUCUGACAAGGCCAAACCUUUGUGAAGAUUGGGGUCCAUUGUCUGGAACAAUGAGCCACAGUGAUUCGGCUCUUCCUCCCCUCCCCCGCACCAGCUGAGCUGAGCACAGCUGCCCACAGAGCCCACUGGGAUCUACUGACAAGAAAAUUAAUGUGAUCUAUUCCUCCCACAAACUCCCAUAACACUCCAUAACUUUCUAAUGAUGCCCUCCACAUUCCAGCCUUUGUGGUAGCUAUUGCUGAACUUGUCUUGCUCUCUCUCCUGGACUGUGAGCCUCGGACCCUACACUAGUGACUGGAAUGUUUGUGUGUGAAGAAAUGAGCGAAAGGAUGGCGCAUUGCAACCUGUGCUUCCCUCUCUUGCAUUCCCAUUCACAUUAAAAGACCUUCCAACUGUGAGGGGUUAAGAAUACAUGAAGACUCAUGACACCAAAAACCUAGGUUCCUCUCCCACCUCCGCCUGAAAUCCUAAGACCCUUUCGCUUCACUCUCAGGUUUGUUUGUAGCGUGAAUAAAUCUGUUACUUUAUAGAUGCAAAUCACCUUAGGAAUUAUUUAUGUGACAGGUUAAACCUAGAAAUACUCUGUGUCGCUGUUUAAACAUAGUCUAAUCCAGUCUUUGAAAGUGGCCACAAUGUGUCAAAAUUGCUAUUCUAAUAUGUAUGGAGG